CGUAGGUGGUUUGUCGCGUUGUUCGUGAAAUCUCACGGCUUAACUGUGAGCGUGCGGGCGAUACGGGCAGACUUGAGUACUGCAGGGGAGACUGGAAUUCCUGGUGUAGCGGUGGAAUGCGCAGAUAUCAGGAGGAACACCGGUGGCGAAGGCGGGUCUCUGGGCAGUAACUGACGCUGAGGAGCGAAAGCGUGGGGAGCGAACAGGAUUAGAUACCCUGGUAGUCCACGCCGUAAACGGUGGGUACUAGGUGUGGGUUUCCUUCCUUGGGAUCCGUGCCGUAGCUAACGCAUUAAGUACCCCGCCUGGGGAGUACGGCCGCAAGGCUAAAACUCAAAGAAAUUGACGGGGGCCCGCACAAGCGGCGGAGCAUGUGGAUUAAUUCGAUGCAACGCGAAGAACCUUACCUGGGUUUGACAUGCACAGGACGCCGGCAGAGAUGUCGGUUCCCUUGUGGCCUGUGUGCAGGUGGUGCAUGGCUGUCGUCAGCUCGUGUCGUGAGAUGUUGGGUUAAGUCCCGCAACGAGCGCAACCCUUGUCUCAUGUUGCCAGCGGGUAAUGCCGGGGACCCGUGAGAGACUGCCGGGGUCAACUCGGAGGAAGGUGGGGAUGACGUCAAGUCAUCAUGCCCCUUAUGUCCAGGGCUUCACACAUGCUACAAUGGCCGGUACAAAGGGCUGCGAUGCCGCGAGGUUAAGCGAAUCCUUUUAAAGCCGGUCUCAGUUCGGAUCGGGGUCUGCAACUCGACCCCGUGAAGUCGGAGUCGC
This 767-nucleotide ribosomal RNA is filed under the name uncultured Mycobacterium sp. RNAcentral describes it as "bacterial SSU rRNA". It matches the Rfam family "Bacterial small subunit ribosomal RNA", at positions 570 to 1335 of the family's 1533-position model. The record is from RNAcentral. Lineage: Bacteria; Bacillati; Actinomycetota; Actinomycetes; Mycobacteriales; Mycobacteriaceae.